Molecule: transfer RNA, 75 nt
Filed under: Myxococcales bacterium FL481
Lineage: Bacteria; Pseudomonadati; Myxococcota; Myxococcia; Myxococcales
Description: tRNA-Val
Rfam family: tRNA
About the family: Transfer RNA (tRNA) molecules are approximately 80 nucleotides in length. Their secondary structure includes four short double-helical elements and three loops (D, anti-codon, and T loops). Further hydrogen bonds mediate the characteristic L-shaped molecular structure. tRNAs have two regions of fundamental functional importance: the anti-codon, which is responsible for specific mRNA codon recognition, and the 3' end, to which the tRNAs corresponding amino acid is attached (by aminoacyl-tRNA synthetases). tRNAs cope with the degeneracy of the genetic code in two manners: having more than one tRNA (with a specific anti-codon) for a particular amino acid; and 'wobble' base-pairing, i.e. permitting non-standard base-pairing at the 3rd anti-codon position.
Source: RNAcentral
AGGGCUGUAGCUCAGGGGUAGAGCGUCGCCUUGACACGGCGGAAGUCGGCGGUUCGAAGCCGCCCAGCCCUACAA